GCCCAGUUAUUGUGGCCCUGCAUAGACAAACGUUUAGCAAGUCCUUGUCAUGUGAACAGAGAGGGACCCAGCACAGACUGGCCUUUCAUGCAUCCGUCCAAGAGGAAAGGUCUAGGAUAGGGGAGGCCUUGGAGGGGUCAGGCCCCGCACCGUAUCACCCCAGCAGCAGGGUGGCCACGGGCCAGUGCCCCUGGACAGUCCAGGUUUAGGCCUGCCGUCCC
Molecule: long non-coding RNA, 221 nt
Filed under: Pan troglodytes (chimpanzee)
Lineage: Eukaryota; Metazoa; Chordata; Mammalia; Primates; Hominidae
Description: long non-coding RNA NONPTRT016862
Source: RNAcentral